This 305-nucleotide ribosomal RNA is filed under the name uncultured bacterium. Its description in RNAcentral is "partial 16S ribosomal RNA". It matches the Rfam family "Bacterial small subunit ribosomal RNA", at positions 508 to 807 of the family's 1533-position model. The record is from RNAcentral.
ACAGCAGCCGCCGCGGGAAUACAGAGGGUGCGAGCGUUAAUCGGAUUUACUGGGCGUAAAGCGUGCGUAGGCGGCUUCUUAAGUCGGAUGUGAAAUCCCUGAGCUUAACUUAGGAAUUGCAUUCGAUACUGGGAAGCUAGAGUAUGGGAGAGGAUGGUAGAAUUCCAGGUGUAGUGGUGAAAUGCGUAGAGAUCUGGAGGAAUACCGAUGGCGAAGGCAGCCAUCUGGCCUAAUACUGACGCUGAGGUACGAAAGCAUGGGGAGCAAACAGGAUUAGAUACCCGCGUAGUCCCUGUCUCUUAUAC